CCCGCCCGCUGGCGGCAUGCCUAACACAUGCAAGUCGAACGAGACCUUCGGGUCUAGUGGCGCACGGGUGCGUAACGCGUGGGAAUCUGCCCUUGGGUUCGGAAUAACAGUUAGAAAUGACUGCUAAUACCGGAUGAUGUCUUCGGACCAAAGAUUUAUCGCCCAGGGAUGAGCCCGCGUAGGAUUAGCUUGUUGGUGGGGUAAAGGCCUACCAAGGCGACGAUCCUUAGCUGGUCUGAGAGGAUGAUCAGCCACACUGGGACUGAGACACGGCCCAGACUCCUACGGGAGGCGGGAGUGGGGAAUAUUGGACAAUGGGCGGAAGCCUGAUCCAGCAAUGCCGCGUGAGUGAUGAAGGCCUUAGGGUUGUAAAGCUCGUUUACCCGGGAUGAUAAUGACAGUACCGGGAGAAUAAGCCCCGGCUAACUCCGUG
This 433-nucleotide ribosomal RNA is filed under the name uncultured bacterium. Its description in RNAcentral is "partial 16S ribosomal RNA". It matches the Rfam family "Bacterial small subunit ribosomal RNA", at positions 34 to 507 of the family's 1533-position model. The record is from RNAcentral.